RNAcentral lists this small RNA (542 nucleotides) under Pongo abelii (Sumatran orangutan). RNAcentral's name for it is "processed transcript". The record is from RNAcentral. Lineage: Eukaryota; Metazoa; Chordata; Mammalia; Primates; Hominidae.
GCGGAGGAGCUACUACUCUGUGCCCAGCUUAGAGAACUGGAAGGGACCGCCACGUUCCGCUGGCUGGAGAAUGGAUGGAGCCUGGAGCCCUGGAGCCUGGGACACUAUCUCGCUGCGGUUGGUGGUGGCGACAGAGUACUAGGAGGGCGGCCGGCAGUGGGAGCUUAUCCUGCCGGCUAGAAAACUAGAAGGAAGAGGCACUGCCACAUGCUGGAAGCUGGAGCCUGAGCAACCGCGGCUCACCUCGCUGUGGUUGGUGGUGACAUCAGAGACUGCAGCUCGGCCACAGUGGUGGAAAUGUGAUGGGGUAGCUGCUCCAAGCCAGGCUGAAGGAGGAGAAGGAGGAGUCGCCUGUGGUACGGUCCAAACUGCAGAUGACGUGGCUCUGCAGCUUGCUUGAUGCGGUUGGUGGUGGUGGUGGUGAUGGAGACCGCAGCUCAACCGGAGCGAGUACUGUCAUCUGCAUGAGCAAACCUGGUUCAUCACCACAUCUUUGCAAGAGGAAAAAGAAGGGGGGAUAAUUAUGUGUAUAAUGUUGUAAG